GAAGUAGUUCAGUGGGUAGAAUACAACCUUGCCAAGGGUUGGGGUCGCGGGUGUCGAAUCCCGUCUUCCGCUUCCA
This 76-nucleotide transfer RNA is filed under the name Bacillus sp. UFRGS-B20. Its description in RNAcentral is "tRNA-Gly". It matches the Rfam family "tRNA". From Rfam's summary of the family: Transfer RNA (tRNA) molecules are approximately 80 nucleotides in length. Lineage: Bacteria; Bacillati; Bacillota; Bacilli; Caryophanales; Bacillaceae. The record is from RNAcentral.